Molecule: ribosomal RNA, 115 nt
Filed under: Escherichia coli 2-052-05_S4_C1
Lineage: Bacteria; Pseudomonadati; Pseudomonadota; Gammaproteobacteria; Enterobacterales; Enterobacteriaceae
Also listed under: 1 other name
Source: RNAcentral
UGGCGGCAGUUGCACGGUGGUCCCACCUGACCCCAUGCCGAACUCAGAAGUGAAACGCCGUAGCGCCGAUGGUAGUGUGGGGUCUCCCCAUGCGAGAGUAGGGAACUGCCAGGCA